This 253-nucleotide ribosomal RNA is filed under the name uncultured bacterium. RNAcentral describes it as "partial 16S ribosomal RNA". It matches the Rfam family "Bacterial small subunit ribosomal RNA", at positions 524 to 776 of the family's 1533-position model. The record is from RNAcentral.
GACAGAGGGUGCAAACGUUGUUCGGAAUUACUGGGCAUAAAGCGCACGUAGGUGGUCCACUAAGUCGAGUGUGAAAUCCCCCGGCUCAACCGGGGAAUUGCGCUCGAUACUGGCGGGCUAGAGGUCGAUAGGGGUGAGCGGAACUCCAGGUGGAGCGGUGAAAUGCGUAGAUAUCUGGAGGAACACCGGUGGCGAAAGCGGCCACCUGGACUGCACCUGACGCUGACACGCGAAAGCUAGGGGAGCGAACGGG